UACGGAAGGCAGCAGUGGGGAAUAUUGCACAAUGGGCGAAAGCCUGAUGCAGCUAUGCCGCGUGUAUGAAGAAGGCCUUAGGGUUGUAAAGUACUUUCAUCGGGGAGGAAAAACAAAACUAAUAAUUUUAUUUCUUGACGUUACCCGAAAAAGAAGCACCGGCUAACUCCGUGCCAGCAGCCGCGGUAAUACGGAGGGUGCUAGCGUUAAUCAGAAUUAUUGGGCGUAAAGAGCACGUAGGUGGUUUUUUUAAGUCAGAUGUGAAAUCCCUGGGCUUAACCUAGGAACUGCAUUUUGAAACUGAAAUACUAGAGUAUCGUAGAGGGAGGUAGAAUUCUAGGUGUAGCGGUGAAAUGCGUAGAUAUCUGGAGGAAUACCUGUGGCGAAAGCGGCCUCCUAAACGAAUACUGACACUGAGGUGCGAAAGCGUGGGGAGCAAACAGGGAUUAGAUACC
This 455-nucleotide ribosomal RNA is filed under the name uncultured bacterium. Its description in RNAcentral is "bacterial SSU rRNA". It matches the Rfam family "Bacterial small subunit ribosomal RNA", at positions 340 to 786 of the family's 1533-position model. The record is from RNAcentral.